Long non-coding RNA from Lathyrus oleraceus (garden pea), 1033 nucleotides. RefSeq lists it as uncharacterized. The record is from RefSeq and is a predicted model, not a curated record. The transcript is spliced from 2 exons. Lineage: Eukaryota; Viridiplantae; Streptophyta; Magnoliopsida; Fabales; Fabaceae.
UCGGCGGCAUGAUUAAUAAACAACUCAGGCGAUUAGCAUCAAUUAGUAUGAAUUAAAGAGGAUUAACGGAUGGAUUAAGUAAACAUAUUAACAGUUGGGCCAUGGAGGUAUGAAAAACAAUGAGGGAGGCCCAUAUAGCCAACAACUUGGGUCUCAAUGCCCAAGAUUCUAGCUGUUCCAACCGGGUUUGGCCUCCUCUUCCUACACAUCAUGCCCAAAACAACAAAACGGAUCCAAAACAAAACAAGGCAAAAUGUGAAGCGUGUGAAUUGCGGCGAAGAAACGAAAUCGGCGAAGUUCGAUUCCUUACCUCGGAAAUCCCAAGUCCAACACUGAAGUCCCAAUCACGGCGCAAGUGCUUCGAGCUUCACCCUCAAACCAAAAAAACGAGACGCACCCCAACUCGACAUCUGAUCCAAUCUUCUGCCCGUGGUUGAUCAGGAUGAAGAGGUUUGUUUGGGUCCGUGCGUGGCGUUGUUUUCCGAAUGAAGAUGAAGAAUGAAGACACGUCGAUUUCACGAUGAUGGAUUACAAAGAGUUGUCAUUAUGAAGAAUCUGGAAAUUGUUGUGUGACGAGGUUUCGAAGAGUGAAGGUGAAUUGAAAGGGGUUGUGAGCUCUGUUAGAGGUGAUUAAAGAGUGGUUAGGAGAGGUUAUGCCAGUUAGAGUUCGGUGUAGUUAGAGCUGGUUUCGAUUGUAUUGAAAAAUCCUAAUGAAGUCAGAAAAAUGAAGUUAGUUCCAAGAUUUGGAAAUUGGAAGUUAAGGGUGGUUUUUGGUCCGUUUUGGUUGGCUGGAAUUAAUUGAAUUAUUAUGCAGAGUUAGAGGUUAGAAAUUCUGCUUAUAACAUGACUAUUGGAAGUUAAGGGAGUUAAGUUGUGAUUGUCACUGAAACAUGACUAUUGGUUUAUGGUUGUAAUGUUGUAGCGGAGAAUGGAUUGAAGCUUAGCGGAAAAUGGAUUGAAGCUUAGUUGUAUGUCGAAAUCAACUUGUAUUAACGGAAUUAGAUCGUAAUUGAAAUAUUUAUUCGGAUUGUUA